Molecule: non-coding RNA, 23 nt
Filed under: Arabidopsis thaliana (thale cress)
Lineage: Eukaryota; Viridiplantae; Streptophyta; Magnoliopsida; Brassicales; Brassicaceae
Source: RNAcentral
AACCGUGAUGGGAAGCUUCGUCG